AUUAGCCUUUCCUUUCAAAAGACAGAGAGAAAGAGAUCUAGAGAGAGAGAUGGAAAGAACAUCAUCUUCCUCUUCAAAGGAAGGAUACAACAGAGUAGCAUGGACUGCUCUUGAAGACAAAAUGCUCAUGGAUUACGUCUCCAUGCAUGGUGAAGGAAAAUGGGAUAGGGUUGCCAAAAAAAUAGGUAAAAUACUUCCUGCUCGUUAUACUUAUUUGGAAAUUAUGUGCUAAUUUUGGGAAAUUCUCUCUCUUUUACUAUAUUUCAGCAGUAUUUAAUUAAGGGAGCUCAUAUUGCCACUGGGGAAUUCUAACGUAACUGGUUUUGAAAAGGGCAACUAGAAAUUAUCCUUAUGUUUGGAAAUUAAAAUUUUAAAAAUUUAAUUCAACUGAAUUUUUUUAUUUAUUUUCAUAUUUGGAAAUCUGCGAAAGAAUUCAAUUAAUUUUUUAACUUAAUAAAAAUUUUAUUUUAAAAGAAAUAAAAAAUAAUAUAAUUAUGUGAAUAAUUGAAUUAAAUUCUUUCUUUUUAAAUGAUUUUUUUUUAAAUUCUUACAUUAUUAAAAGAAAAGGAUACUUUAACAAGACAUAUCAGUGACGCUAAUACUCUAAGAAAUAAUUUUUUAAAGUUGUUCUGGACUUCUUUUCAUGAAUUUUUGCUAUAUCUAUAAAAAGAAAUAUGUUCAAAAGGACUGUAAAGAAAUAUGAGAGAAGAAAAUAUUCAAUUUAGGAAACAAAGUAAAAUCAACUAAAAAAAAUCAUUUAUAUCUUUUUUUUUUUAUACAAUUGACCGUAAAGUAUAUCCUUUUAGUAUGAAAAAUUCUUGCGUAAAGCUGAUUUAUCAUAUAUCUAAGAUACAAAUAUGUAGAAUCUUUGAUUUAAUUGAUAGGUCUUACUAUAUAUUUUAUAUCUUGAAUCUAUUAUUAUACUCAUAGUUAUAUUUAUUAAUGAGAUGAAAUAUUG
Molecule: unclassified non-coding RNA, 958 nt
Filed under: Hevea brasiliensis (rubber tree)
Lineage: Eukaryota; Viridiplantae; Streptophyta; Magnoliopsida; Malpighiales; Euphorbiaceae
Source: RNAcentral